Anguilla rostrata (American eel) is the source of this 338-nucleotide long non-coding RNA. RefSeq lists it as uncharacterized. The transcript has 2 exons. The record is from RefSeq and is a predicted model, not a curated record. NCBI's taxonomy places the organism in Eukaryota, Metazoa, Chordata, Actinopteri, Anguilliformes, Anguillidae.
CGCAGGCCUGCGAGACACAGCCACCCUGAGAAUCAGCACCGCACACGGGAGCACACGUUACCCACAAUCCCACAGCACACGGGCCUGAACGGGGUCACUGUGAUGUGCACAUGACUUCCUGCAGGGGAAGGAUACAGGCUGGACAGCUGGUACAUGACCUGGGCACAGUUUCUCAGGAUGGCAUGCAGCUUAAUGAAGCAGUCCAGCGACUCCUCCAGCCGGCCCAGUCUCUUAUAAGUGAGGCCUGAGGUCAGUGUGGACACGCAUCAGCAACAGACAUCAAGAACAUCAUGUUCAAUUCAUUAACAAAUGAACGCCAUUAAAUUACAUUACAUUCA